Molecule: ribosomal RNA, 453 nt
Filed under: uncultured Alloprevotella sp.
Lineage: Bacteria; Pseudomonadati; Bacteroidota; Bacteroidia; Bacteroidales; Prevotellaceae
Description: partial 16S ribosomal RNA
Rfam family: Bacterial small subunit ribosomal RNA
Source: RNAcentral
ACGGGAGGCAGCAGUGAGGACUAUUGGUCAAUGGACGAGAGUCUGAACUAGCCAAGUAGCGUGCAGGAUGACGGCCCUCCGGGUUGUAAACUGCUUUUAGUUGGGAAUAAAAGAAGUGACGUGUCGCUUAUUGUAUGUACCAUCAGAAAAAGGACCGGCUAAUUCCGUGCCAGCAGCCGCGGUAAUACGGAAGGUCCGGGCGUUAUCCGGAUUUAUUGGGUUUAAAGGGAGCGUAGGCGGGCUUUUAAGUCAGUGGUAAAAGCGUGUGGCACAACAAUACCACGCCAUUGAAACUGGAGGCCUUGAGUGCACACAGGGAUGCUGGAAUUCGUCGUGUAGCGGUGAAAUGCUUAGAUAUGACGAAGAACUCCGAUCGCGAAGGCAGGUGUCCGGGGUGUAACUGACGCUGAGGAUCGAAAGUGCGGGUAUCAAACAGGAUUGGAUACCCUGGUA